Molecule: ribosomal RNA, 247 nt
Filed under: uncultured Lactobacillus sp.
Lineage: Bacteria; Bacillati; Bacillota; Bacilli; Lactobacillales; Lactobacillaceae
Description: partial 16S ribosomal RNA
Rfam family: Bacterial small subunit ribosomal RNA
Source: RNAcentral
CGUGGGGAACCUGCCCCAUAGUCUGGGAUACCACUUGGAAACAGGUGCUAAUACCGGAUAAGAAAGCGGAUCGCAUGAUCAGCUUUUAAAAGGCGGCGUAAGCUGUCGCUAUGGGAUGGCCCCGCGGUGCAUUAGCUAGUUGGUAAGGUAAAGGCCUACCAAGGCGAUGAUGCAUAGCCGAGUUGAGAGACUGAUCGGCCACAUUGGGACUGAGACACGGCCCAAACUCCUACGGGAGGCAGCAGAU